GACGAACGCUGGCGGCGUGCUUAACACAUGCAAGUCGAACGGAAAGGCCUCUUUCGGGGGGUACUCGCGUGGCGAACGGGUGAGUAACACGUGAGUAACCUGCCCUUGACUUUGGGUUAACUUCCGGAAACUGGGGCUAAUACCGGAUAGGAGCUCCUGCUGCACGGUGGGGGUUGGAAAGUUUCGGCGGUUGGGGAUGGACUCGCGGCUUAUCAGCUUGUUGGUGGGGGAGUGGCUUACCAAGGCGUUGCCGGGUAGCCGGCCUGUGGGGGUGACCGGCCACAUUGGGACUGAGAUACGGCCCAGACUCCUACGGGAGGCAGCAGUGGGGAAUAUUGCACAAUGGGUGGAAGCCUGAUGCAGCAACGCCGUGUGCGGGAUGACGGCCUUCGGGUUGUAAACCGCUUUCGCUCAUGACGAAGCUUUGUGUGACGGUAGUGGGUAAAGAAGCACCGGCUAACUACGUG
Molecule: ribosomal RNA, 467 nt
Filed under: uncultured bacterium
Lineage: Bacteria
Description: partial 16S ribosomal RNA
Rfam family: Bacterial small subunit ribosomal RNA
Source: RNAcentral